UUGCUGUCUGGGGAGCAUUGAUUGAUUGAUGAUUGAUGAAGUGUCGUCAAGUCGGUGUCGACUCCUAGCGACCACAUAGAUAGAUUCUCUCCAGGAUGAUCUGUCUUCAACUUGGCCUUUAAGAUCUCUCAGUGGGGCAUUAAUGGCUGUCGUAAUCGAGUCCAUCCACCUUGCUGCUGGUCGUCCCCUUUAUGUGCUGGAAACUUCUCCUUUAUGUGCUGGAUACCAUUCAUUAUUUUUAACCUGCUCCUAUUGAUCUAUUCAGAGCAAUGAUUAAUGAUGGUGCCAUAGGUCUAAACGUGCGUUCACAAAGAUGCAUUCAUAAGGAAGUGACAACUGAUAAUAAAUGUGUUAACGUUUCAGAUUUUGGAUGAAUAUAUAGUCCAAAUGCAUUGGAUGAAGACUCUCUGGUUAAAUCUUUCUGUUAUGGAGAGGUCAUUACUUCAGUCUUGUGAUCGACAAUGCCCCUUUUGUCCUUGUACUUCUGUGAUGCUUAGAACUGCUCCUAGAUCAUCCAAUGAUAAUUCAAUUAAAUGUAACAUGGAACAUACCACACAUCAUUAUGAUUUAGCAUCCUCAAUAUACUUGCAAAAUGUGUAUGUCAUCUACAUGUUCAGACUUCAUCACCAAAAUAUAGUGUUGCCCAAUACAGGA
Long non-coding RNA from Hemicordylus capensis (graceful crag lizard), 654 nucleotides. RefSeq lists it as uncharacterized. The record is from RefSeq and is a predicted model, not a curated record. The transcript has 3 exons. NCBI's taxonomy places the organism in Eukaryota, Metazoa, Chordata, Lepidosauria, Squamata, Cordylidae.